GCCCGCCAAGGCCCCUCGCCCUCUCGUUCGGCCCGGGGCCGCGGGCAGCACUCACCGAUGAGGUUGGGCACGAACAGAAAGAUAUUUUCGUCUGGCAUCGCGGCGCCUCCCUUGCUGCCCGGGCCUGCUCUGGAGAUGCCAGUGCUGUCCCAGCCCCGCCGCGCGGCCUCAGCCUCCGGCCCGGCGCAUCGGCCGCACCACCUGCGCCCUGGACCCCGCCGCCCCAACCCGGCCCCAGAUGCUGAAGCCCGCAGCCGUCGGGAGCAUGGGCCGGCCCCGAGAUGCGCGGGGCGCAGGGGGCGCGCGCAGCCCGCCCUUCCUACCCGCAACCUCCCUCGCCUCUGCCCGCCCCGCAGGCGCUCCGGGCCUCCAGCUGCGGUCGCCGCUGCUCCAGCUGCGCGUGGCUUCCGGGAACCUCCUCCUCCGCGCCCGUCGUUGCAAAAUUGGAGAGAGGAAAAAGUGGCUUAAAAAAAUGGUUGCGGCCCCUUUAAGGCCUAUCCGCUUCCUUUCCCUUUUCCUCCCUCCGCCCCUCUCCCUUGGCUCGUACCAAAGCGCAGAGGAGGAGAGGGAGGAAGGAACCAUUAACAUCGAGAAAAAGUAGAAACGGAAAAGGAAAGAGUAAAAGAAAAGACCGAAUAAAAAUCUCUGCUUUCCUUU
Molecule: non-coding RNA, 657 nt
Filed under: Pongo abelii (Sumatran orangutan)
Lineage: Eukaryota; Metazoa; Chordata; Mammalia; Primates; Hominidae
Source: RNAcentral